GACGAACGCUGGCGGCGUGCCUAACACAUGCAAGUCGAACGAAGCAUAUUUUCGGAUAUGCUUAGCGGCGGACGGGUGAGUAACACGUGGGUAACCUGCCUCAUAGAGGGGAAUAGCCUUUCGAAAGGAAGAUUAAUACCGCAUAAGAUUGUAGUGCCGCAUGGCAUAGCAAUUAAAGGAGUAAUCCGCUAUGAGAUGGACCCGCGUCGCAUUAGCUAGUUGGUGAGGUAACGGCUCACCAAGGCGACGAUGCGUAGCCGACCUGAGAGGGUGAUCGGCCACAUUGGGACUGAGACACGGCCCAGACUCCUACGGGAGGCAGCAGUGGGGAAUAUUGCACAAUGGGGGAAACCCUGAUGCAGCAACGCCGCGUGAGUGAUGACGGUCUUCGGAUUGUAAAGCUCUGUCUUCAGGGACGAUAAUGACGGUACCUGAGGAGGAAGCCACGGCUAACUACGUG
Molecule: ribosomal RNA, 460 nt
Filed under: uncultured organism
Description: bacterial SSU rRNA
Rfam family: Bacterial small subunit ribosomal RNA
Source: RNAcentral